AGAACGAACGCUGGCGGCAGGCUUAACACAUGCAAGUCGAACGCUCGUAGCAAUACGGGAGUGGCAGACGGGUGAGUAACGCGUGGGAACAUACCCUCCGGUUCGGAAUAGCUCAGGGAAACUUGGAUUAAUACCGGAUACGGCUGAGAGGCGAAAGAUUUAUCGCCGGAGGAUUGGCCCGCGUUCGAUUAGCUUGUUGGUGAGGUAACGGCUCACCAAGGCGAUGAUCGAUAGCUGGUCUGAGAGGAUGAUCAGCCACAUUGGGACUGAGACACGGCACAAACUCCUACGGGAGGCAGCAGUGGGGAAUAUUGGACAAUGGGCGCAAGCCUGAUCCAGCCAUGCCGCGUGAGUGAUGACGGCCUUAGGGUUGUAAAGCUCUUUCGCUCGGGACGAUAAUGACGGUACCGAGAUAAGAAGCCCCGGCUAACUUCGUGCCAGCAGCCGC
This 448-nucleotide ribosomal RNA is filed under the name uncultured bacterium. Its description in RNAcentral is "SSU rRNA". It matches the Rfam family "Bacterial small subunit ribosomal RNA", at positions 26 to 518 of the family's 1533-position model. The record is from RNAcentral.